UACCCGGAGGUCAUCCUGUUGAUUACUUCCUUGUGAUGGUACUGAUAACAAUUGCUUCCACCUAAUGAUAAAUGCAUCAGGGAAAUGGCUUUGGCUUGGCUUUUUAUUUUAUUUUUGGAAUACAGGACUCUAAACCUUAUACUAGGCUUAUAUUAAAAUGUGCAGUUCAAUGCACAUUUUCCGGGUUUUGAUUGAACGCCACACGAAAGGAGCAGUUUGUUUUCGUCACAUGACAGGAAGUAAGUGUUGGACGUUCAUCGGUACAUGGGAAGUGUGUCAAUACGACACAACUCUGAAGUCUGGAAAUACAACAAACACCACUUAUUUUCGAGGAUUAAAUGUGUUUCCAGAGAAAAAGGGUCGGUGUUGUCUCUGAGUCAGAUUAACGCAGCUGCUGGUUUCUGGCUGCUAUUUGUCCACCGGGGCGAGCUAGUUUUAGCAAAGUGGCUAGCUAAGUAGAUCACAACCUUGCCCUGUCCGUCAACAAGCAGCAGUUUAGCUCUGUAUGCUCCUGACAGCUUUUAAACAAACCAGUUGUUAUUUUCCCUGUAGCUUAAUGUAGUGUCACUGCCUGCAGCCCAUGGUGUGCAGUUCACGAAGUUUAACGACAGACUGGAGUCCUGUUCUCAGUGCUUUUGAAGAGCCAUGAGCACCUACUGACAGCGGGGUUAGGCUGACAUGGACUGAAGCUGGGCGGAUGAACACCUGUCGUCUCUGGCGACAUUGAACUUCAGAGAAGCCUGCAGGAUGUUGGAAGGCCUGGUGGCCUGGGUGCUGAACACAUACCUGGGGAAAUAUGUCAGCAACCUGAACACAGACCAGCUCUCCAUCGCCCUUCUCAAAGGGGCCGUGGAGCUGGAGAACCUCCCUCUGAGGAAAGAU
Molecule: long non-coding RNA, 882 nt
Organism: Notothenia coriiceps (black rockcod)
Lineage: Eukaryota; Metazoa; Chordata; Actinopteri; Perciformes; Nototheniidae
Exons: 3
Source: RefSeq, a predicted model, not a curated record